AGUGAACGCUGGCGGCGUGCCUAAUACAUGCAAGUCGAACGAGAAAGUUUCCUUCGGGAAGCGAGUAAAGUGGCGCACGGGUGAGUAAUACAUAGAUAAUCUUCCUUACAGCGGGGAAUAACACUGGGAAACUAGUGCUAAUACCGCAUACUCUUAAGAUGACUGUGGUCGUUUUAAGCAAAGAGGGCCUCUGCUUGCAAGCUCUCACUGUAAGAUGAGUCUUUGUCCCAUUAGGUAGUUGGUAGGGUAAUGGCCUACCAAGCCAAAGAUGGGUAGCUGGUCUUAGAGGAUGAUCAGCCACACUGGAACUGAAACACGGUCCAGACUCCUACGGGAGGCAGCAGUAGGGAAUUUUGCGCAAUGGGGGAAACCCUGACGCAGCGACGUCGCGUGUGGGAUGAAGGGUCUCGGCUCGUAAACCACUGUCGAAUGGGAAGAUGGGACUUACAAUUAAUAAAUGUAAGUUUUGACUGUACCAUUAAAGGAAGCACCUACUAACUACGUGCCAGCCGCCGCAGUAA
Molecule: ribosomal RNA, 521 nt
Filed under: uncultured bacterium
Lineage: Bacteria
Description: partial 16S ribosomal RNA
Rfam family: Bacterial small subunit ribosomal RNA
Source: RNAcentral